ACUUAAAUUGAAGAGUUUGAUCAUGGCUCAGAUUGAACGCUGGCGGCAGGCCUAACACAUGCAAGUCGAGCGGUAGCACAGAGAGCUUGCUCUCGGGUGACGAGCGGCGGACGGGUGAGUAAUGUCUGGGAAACUGCCUGAUGGAGGGGGAUAACUACUGGAAACGGUAGCUAAUACCGCAUAACGUCGCAAGACCAAAGUGGGGGACCUUCGGGCCUCAUGCCAUCAGAUGUGCCCAGAUGGGAUUAGCUAGUAGGUGGGGUAACGGCUCACCUAGGCGACGAUCCCUAGCUGGUCUGAGAGGAUGACCAGCCACACUGGAACUGAGACACGGUCCAGACUCCUACGGGAGGCAGCAGUGGGGAAUAUUGCACAAUGGGCGCAAGCCUGAUGCAGCCAUGCCGCGUGUGUGAAGAAGGCCUUCGGGUUGUAAAGCACUUUCAGCGGGGAGGAAGGCGGUGAGGUUAAUAACCUCAUCGAUUGACGUUACCCGCAGAAGAAGCACCGGCUAACUCCGUGCCAGCAGCCGCGGUAAUACGGAGGGUGCAAGCGUUAAUCGGAAUUACUGGGCGUAAAGCGCACGCAGGCGGUCUGUCAAGUCGGAUGUGAAAUCCCCGGGCUCAACCUGGGAACUGCAUUCGAAACUGGCAGGCUAGAGUCUUGUAGAGGGGGGUAGAAUUCCAGGUGUAGCGGUGAAAUGCGUAGAGAUCUGGAGGAAUACCGGUGGCGAAGGCGGCCCCCUGGACAAAGACUGACGCUCAGGUGCGAAAGCGUGGGGAGCAAACAGGAUUAGAUACCCUGGUAGUCCACGCCGUAAACGAUGUCGAUUUGGAGGUUGUGCCCUUGAGGCGUGGCUUCCGGAGCUAACGCGUUAAAUCGACCGCCUGGGGAGUACGGCCGCAAGGUUAAAACUCAAAUGAAUUGACGGGGGCCCGCACAAGCGGUGGAGCAUGUGGUUUAAUUCGAUGCAACGCGAAGAACCUUACCUGGUCUUGACAUCCACAGAACUUUCCAGAGAUGGAUUGGUGCCUUCGGGAACUGUGAGACAGGUGCUGCAUGGCUGUCGUCAGCUCGUGUUGUGAAAUGUUGGGUUAAGUCCCGCAACGAGCGCAACCCUUAUCCUUUGUUGCCAGCGGUUCGGCCGGGAACUCAAAGGAGACUGCCAGUGAUAAACUGGAGGAAGGUGGGGAUGACGUCAAGUCAUCAUGGCCCUUACGACCAGGGCUACACACGUGCUACAAUGGCAUAUACAAAGAGAAGCGACCUCGCGAGAGCAAGCGGACCUCAUAAAGUAUGUCGUAGUCCGGAUUGGAGUCUGCAACUCGACUCCAUGAAGUCGGAAUCGCUAGUAAUCGUAGAUCAGAAUGCUACGGUGAAUACGUUCCCGGGCCUUGUACACACCGCCCGUCACACCAUGGGAGUGGGUUGCAAAAGAAGUAGGUAGCUUAACCUUCGGGAGGGCGCUUACCACUUUGUGAUUCAUGACUGGGGUGAAGUCGUAACAAGGUAACCGUAGGGGAACCUGCGGUUGGAUCACCUCCUUACCUUAAAGAA
This 1554-nucleotide ribosomal RNA is filed under the name Klebsiella pneumoniae. RNAcentral describes it as "bacterial SSU rRNA". It matches the Rfam family "Bacterial small subunit ribosomal RNA". RNAcentral also lists the same sequence under 1 other name. Lineage: Bacteria; Pseudomonadati; Pseudomonadota; Gammaproteobacteria; Enterobacterales; Enterobacteriaceae. The record is from RNAcentral.